This 1089-nucleotide long non-coding RNA is filed under the name Mytilus galloprovincialis (Mediterranean mussel). Lineage: Eukaryota; Metazoa; Mollusca; Bivalvia; Mytilida; Mytilidae. The record is from RNAcentral.
CAAAAUAAUAAAAUUAUGAUUAUUUCAUACAAGCAAUAGUGUAUGAAGUAAAACCACUAUAUAUCAAAAAUCAAAUUAUUUCAAAUGAUUCUGAGACCAGUUUAUUCAAAACUGUUUUUAAAGCUUCCUCUAUAGUCAAUAUUCACAAUGGCUUUACUCUGUAAUUGCAUUCUGGUCCCUUUAAAAGCUAGAAUGAUAACACAAUCAAGAAAAAGGUUUAUUUAAAUCGAAUUAUACAGCAAAUCUUAUGUAAUUCACAUUUUUGUUAGAGUCAGAAACAGUAGUAUACCGCUCUUCAAUAUCAGAAUUAUGUUCUGAUCUAAAGUAAAUCUAUUAGCAAUCUCUAUUUUUUUCAUAUCCUUGAAAUGGCCGUACAGUCGAGGAUAAUGAUAACAUAUUGAAAUGUCUCCGACUUAGGUUUUUAGUACACUAAACAAAAGAAAGUUAAUAUAAACGAGUGGAAAAUACUAUGGUUAUCAAUUACGUAAUUGGUUUUUACAAGGAGUACAGCCUGUUUAUCAUUUAGUGUUGAUUCAACCUCGUUUAGUGAAAGACAUUAACGUGGCGUUAUUACGCAAUCUAGUUUUUUUACGAAUUCUAAUGUGAAAUCUAAGAUUUUUAAAAAUAAAUGUUCUGACGUUCUUUCCCGCAAAGUUAAAAAACAAGCUCAUGAAUUUAUGUCAAAAAAAUAAACCAAUGAAAUUUUGAAAAACAAUUUUUUCUUUUUAAGUUAUAUGGAUAUCGAAACAAAUGACAACGUAAUAUAAUAACCGUAUGAUAAUUAACACAGAAUAUGAAUGAUUCUUCUGGUCAUGAAAAUUAAAAUAUUUCCAUUGACUUUGCUGCAAAAACGUUGGGAAGAGAACAGAUACUUUCAAUGCGCCCAACAAAGAGCAACAAAUGCCCCUCUUUCACCCCCCCGAAAAAAAAACAAAAAAACAAAAAACAAAAAAAAAAAAAAUAACAUGCACAACAAAAACAAGCUCUGUUUUAUAGUUUACAUUUAAAUGUUCGAUUCCUCCUUAAUGUAACGAUAAAAAGUUGUAAAUAAAUAAAAUAGAGUAAACAUGCAAAGGAUAAUAUGUCAAG